CCUACGGGUGGCAGCAGUGAGGAAUAGUGGUCAAUGGGCGCGAGCCUGAACCAGCCAAGUAGCGUGAAGGAUGACUGCCCUACGGGUUGUAAACUUCUUUUAUAAAGGAAUAAAGUGAGGCACGUGUGCCUUUUUGUAUGGACGUUAUGAAUAAGGAUCGGCUAACUCCGUGCCAGCAGCCGCGGUAAUACGGAGGAUCCGAGCGUUAUCCGGAUUUAUUGGGUUUAAAGGGAGCGUAGAUGGGUUGUUAAGUCAGUUGUGAAAGUUUGCGGCUCAACCGUAAAAUUGCAAUUGAUACUGGCAGCCUUUCGUACAGUUGAGGUAGGCGGAAUUCGUGGUGUAGCGGUGACCUGCUUCGCUCUCACGAAGACCUCCGAUUGCGACGGCAGCUUACUAAACUGCCCCUGACAUUGCUGCUCGACAGUGUGGGUAUCACACCGGAUUAGCUACCCGAGUAGUC
RNAcentral lists this ribosomal RNA (460 nucleotides) under uncultured bacterium. RNAcentral describes it as "partial 16S ribosomal RNA". It matches the Rfam family "Bacterial small subunit ribosomal RNA", at positions 338 to 795 of the family's 1533-position model. The record is from RNAcentral.